Molecule: ribosomal RNA, 468 nt
Filed under: uncultured bacterium
Lineage: Bacteria
Description: partial 16S ribosomal RNA
Rfam family: Bacterial small subunit ribosomal RNA
Source: RNAcentral
GACGAACGCUGGCGGCGUGCUUAACACAUGCAAGUCGAACGGAAAGGCCCUGCUUUUGUGGGGUGCUCGAGUGGCGAACGGGUGAGUAACACGUGAGUAACCUGCCCUUGACUUUGGGAUAACUUCAGGAAACUGGGGCUAAUACCGGAUAGGAGCUCCUGCUGCAUGGUGGGGGUUGGAAAGUUUCGGCGGUUGGGGAUGGACUCGCGGCUUAUCAGCUUGUUGGUGGGGUAGUGGCUUACCAAGGCUUUGACGGGUAGCCGGCCUGAGAGGGUGACCGGCCAACAUGGGAAUGGGAUACGGCCCCGACUCCUACGGGAGGCAGCAGUGGGGAAUAUUGCACAAUGGGCGGAAGCCUGAUGCAGCAACGCCGCGUGCGGGAUGACGGCCUUCGGGUUGUAAACCGCUUUCGCCUGUGACGAAGCGUGAGUGACGGUAAUGGGUAAAGAAGCACCGGCUAACUACGUG